Molecule: long non-coding RNA, 293 nt
Filed under: Parus major (Great Tit)
Lineage: Eukaryota; Metazoa; Chordata; Aves; Passeriformes; Paridae
Description: lncRNA (ENSPMJG00000016898.1)
Source: RNAcentral
CAGCUGUGUAAAAUCCAGACAGGGAAUUUCAAGCUGCUGACACUGUGGCAUUGAAUAUACAGAGCUCAGCAGCAAGACGCCAGCAGCAAUCUGAAACAACCUUCACCAGACCCCCUGUCUAAUAACUACAGAUUCUGAACGUCAUUGGAUGUGCAGCCUCACAAGAAAGAACUUGUAGCACUGCAGCUAAACUGUUCCUGGGCCUUAUAUUCCAGCCAGAGCUGAAGGCACAUUUGCAGAUAAUACCAUGUGAGUGUCAUCAAAAGCUUCCAGAGGGAAAGGACACAACAGUG